RNAcentral lists this long non-coding RNA (1149 nucleotides) under Amphibalanus amphitrite. Its description in RNAcentral is "uncharacterized LOC122383941". The record is from RNAcentral. Lineage: Eukaryota; Metazoa; Arthropoda; Thecostraca; Balanomorpha; Balanidae.
UGCAUAAUUCGCUAAAAAGUAUUUCAAACUAUUUAACAUAUUGGUACUAUGUUUAUACUCUCUACCGCAGCUACUGUAUGAUGUCAUAGCAAUGACGUCACACUCAAGCCAAUCAGCCUUGAGGAGGAUAGACUCGUCGGACUGUAGCGGUUGUAAACAACUUGUCGCCCCGUGUGUCUGCCCGUGGCGCUAGUUAUCUGUCGGAGUUACCACUGACAAUGCCCAAAACAAGAACAACAAAGGCCCAAAGGUGGCUGUUUGGUAGUGCGCAAAGCUGCUGGUGGUGGUGGACGUCUCUGCCCUGACGCGCGGCGUGCGUCUGCUCAGUGUGGAGGUGCCGCUGACAGCGGUGCCGGCCGGACCGGCUGCCUCUCCGGCGGCCGACAUUGAGCGCGGCACGUGUCCGCCGCCGUUCGGGCCGCUGCAGCUGCUGCAGUCGGCGGCGCAGCUGUCCGUCUCCGUGUCGCUGGCCGUGCCGCUGGACCUGCUGCCGCGGCCGGCGCCGGCGCGCUGCGCCUACGGCCGCCUGCUGGCCGUCGUCUCGCAGCGCGGCCUGCAGCGCAGCGGCGUGCUGCAGCUCAUCCAGCAGCUCAACGAGCCGCCCAGCCCGGCGGCGGCCGAGGGCGCCGCGCCGCGCCGGCCCGGCGACGUCAGCACACCUGGCAUCAGCGGCUUCUGCCUGGCCGACCGUCAGCUGCACCUGCUGUUCGCCGAGGGGCGCGCCGACGCCGAGCUGGAACAGACGGCGGCCGCGCCGCGCGCUCUGCCGCGCCGCGACGCUCGACUCUGCCACCACUGGGGCCUGCUGUUUAGGGAGCGCCUGUACCCGCGCCAGCCGGCCUCGUUCCGCGUGCUCGAGGACCGCCCGCUACGCGCCCAGCUGCUCGACACCCGCCUCUACACGUUACAGAAACAGGAGCCGGCGCGCGCCGUCCGCGCCAUCAGAGAGUGCUUCCGCACGCAGUGGCUGUCGGAAAAUGAACCUGCUUCCCAACGAGGCCGGCCUGCAACAACUGCUGGCCGGCUGUUGCCCGAAAAAAACGCCUUCAACCGGAUGUCAGUUGUCAAAUCAACGCGUAUUAAUGCAUUCACUAGGAUGGGCUUACGUAAAGCUGUAGAAUUGCAAAUAUAUAAUGGCACUGUUUUUGA